GACUCUAUGAUUUUGACUACUCUAGGCACCUCAUACUGGAACUAGUUCACAGACCCAAAGAUGCUUGAAUGAAGGAAAGGCAGCCUUCCCUGGAGGAAGAACUCAACAGCGCUUCCACAAAUAGUACAUUUUUACUGAUUAUCAAAGAAGGACUGUGACUAAACUAGAAGGAGAAUUAACACUAUCCAGAGAUGGCUACAGUUCUGAAGGGAAACUUUGAGUCUCCACCUUUCCAAGAGUGGAUAAUCCUCUCUCCACAACUUGAUAAUGCACAAACUGCAAAUCUUCUGGUACUCACUGCUGCAAGCAAACUUGAAGUCUUUCUGAGAUGAUGAAACCAAUGUCCUGAAGUCUGAAGUUCCCUGGCUACAGCCUACUGGCUAGUAAUCAGCAGAGUGGGGAUUUAUGUUCUAGGUCGCUCUUGGUUCCAAGGCCACUGCACUAUGUUGCUUUCCAGCUCCCUGCAGAACAGCAAGUACACUUUCAUAUACACCAUAGAGAAUUUUUGAAAGCCUAAUAAACUAUUCGAUUUAUUAUAGGAUGCUUGAGUUUACCUUUAUGAGACUUUAUUCACAAGAAAUUGUUGCUCCCAAGAGAUAUGCCACAUCUCAAAUCAGUUUUCCUCUCUAAUAUCCAGGAGGUUCUUUGUGGACUUUAGACCCCCAAACUAUUUAAUAGUCUUAAUGGGUAGAAUUUUCUGGUUUUCAUCUAAAUGAUUUAAGUUCCUUGUCAAGAAAAUCGCUAAGUUCUAUUUUUUCUGCAUUUAAGACAAAUAACUGAGCUGUCCUUUCAAAGUUUUAAGCUUAUAAUCCUAAAGAUUGCUAUACAUUAGCUGUAAAGGAAACACUAUUAUAUGGCCAUCUCUUUCCUUUACAGUUACAAAGCACUCAUCAUAUGCCAUAAAUGACUGUACUUACAAUGUCUAUAGGUUUUGAUUGUUUAGAAGAAGGGAAGACUUCUUUAGUUUUUAAUCCAGAUGUAAAGGAAAGGAAAA
Molecule: long non-coding RNA, 994 nt
Filed under: Homo sapiens (human)
Lineage: Eukaryota; Metazoa; Chordata; Mammalia; Primates; Hominidae
Description: HSALNT0314095
Source: RNAcentral